CCUACGGGGGGCAGCAGUGGGGGAUAUUGCACAAUGGGGGGAACCCUGAUGCAGCGACGCCGCGUGGGUGAAGGAGGGCCUCGGCAUGGAAAGUCCUAUCGGUAGGGAAGAAGCAAGACGGUACCUGACUAAGAAGCCCCGGCUAACUACGUGCCAGCAGCCGCGGUAAUACGUAGGGGGCGAGCGUUAUCCGGAUUCACUGGGUGUAAAGGGAGCGUAGACGGCCAAGCAAGCCGGGGGGGAAAGCGCGGGGCCCAACCCCGGGACUGCCCUUGGAACUGCAUGGCUGGAGUGCGGGAGGGGCAGGCGGAAUGCCGGGUGUAGCGGUGAAAUGCGUAGAUAUCAGGAGGAACACCGACGGCGAAGGCGGCCUGCUGGACCGCGACUGACGUUGAGGCUCGAAAGCGUGGGGAGCGAACAGGAUUAGAUACCCGGGUAGUC
This 441-nucleotide ribosomal RNA is filed under the name uncultured bacterium. RNAcentral describes it as "partial 16S ribosomal RNA". It matches the Rfam family "Bacterial small subunit ribosomal RNA", at positions 338 to 795 of the family's 1533-position model. The record is from RNAcentral.